This 1262-nucleotide long non-coding RNA is filed under the name Capra hircus (goat). Its description in RNAcentral is "lncRNA (ENSCHIG00000000548.1)". The record is from RNAcentral. Lineage: Eukaryota; Metazoa; Chordata; Mammalia; Artiodactyla; Bovidae.
AGAUACAGACAGCCUAAAAGCUCUCAAAUUAGAUUCUCAUAAGGGAGAAAAACCUAACUGUGGAUGUUACUCUUGAAUUUUUAUUUUAUAUCGUAUUUAUCUAGGUGUUUCAGAAAGUCUUUCAUAUUAUGAGAAAACUGCUGAAAGGGAGAGAAAAAGGUCACCAUCCAAAUUCAUCACAAGACUGUCUGCAAUUGCUACGCGGUCUCUCAGACUGGCUAUGUGAGGUGUAUAUGCUAUUCCUGUCAAAUCAGGAUAAGGAACAAACUGCUAUGCACAGAUCGAUGUGUUCAGCUGACGUGUGGACAGGAUCUGCUGGAAUAGACUCGGAGGGAAUUUUAAGUACACGACCUUCAAGCAUCAGGAGCGAAUGACUGCAACUGAAAUAUUGUUCUUGAAGUCAGUGCAUUUCUGAAUAACCCAGCUGUUUACAGGUGGCAUUUCUCUGCUGGAAUCCUCUAUUAGACAUGCUGACUUGUAGCAGUGUGUAUUCCUAUCCUGUAAUGAAGGAAGGGAGACCAUUUGGAAAACGUAAGGCCAGUAAUCUUAUUUGUCACUAGGUUAUCUGUAGGUUACAUAGAAAGUCAUUGCUUUCUAGCGCCUAAUGAGCUCUUUGCAUUUGACCAUUAUUAGUCUUUCUUGAAACUAAGCCCUCUGGGCAGCUGUCAGUCAUUUCUGUGUAAUGACACAGGGCAUGGGUAUUUCGGGAUAGAAAAUACCUCAUUUUUCUUUUUAGUUCUAUUAGAAAGAUUUUUUUUUUCCUCCUUGUAUGCAAGGAAAUGUAUAUUUUAUAUCCAUGCAUACAAAUGGAUUACAAAAUCUGUGUGACCUCAUUUCCUUGAGUCUAGGCUCCUCGGUUCAGUAAAUGCCAUGCUCCAAUAAUAUGGAUGGCAAUCCCGAAGAAGGUUGUAGUGAGUCACCAUACAACACCUAUAACAAGACAGAAACCACAUUGUCACCAGUUAAUUUUUUUCCAGUAGGAAACAAAAACCCGAAGCAAGCCGGCCAGCACUAACGGAGAAAUGCUGGCCCGCCGCUCUGUCCCUUCCGUUGCAACAGAAGUCGUGCUGGCUGACAACAAGGGCACAAACCUGGCAGGUUAGCUGCAGGUGGCUGAUCCCCAUUUCCCCCCAAACCCAGGAAAUACAAACUCAAGGGAAGCUUGAGAACAAGAAUAUUUCUUGUUCUUAAAAUUCAUUCUUAAUCCAGGAGAUUUGAUAUGAAAUUAUAGUCCUAUCAAUAAAGAAUUUAUUAAAAAGGGC